GACGAACGCUGGCGGCGUGCUUAACCCAUGCACGUCGAACGUAAAGGCCCUGCUUUUGUGGGGUGCUCGAGUGGCGAACGGGUGAGUAACACGUGAGUAACCUGCCCUUGACUUUGGGAUAACUUCAGGAAACUGCGGCUCAUACCGGAUAGGCGCUCCUGCUGCAUGGUGGGGGUUGGAAAGUUUCGGCGGUUGGGGAUGGACUCGCGGGUUAUCAGCUUGUUGGUGGGGUAGUGGCUUACCAAGGCUUUGACGGGUAGCCGGCCUGAGAGGGUGACCGGCCACAUUGGGACUGCGAUACGGCCCAGACUCCUACGGGAGGCAGCAGUGGGGAAUAUUGCGCAAUGGGCGGAAGCCUGAUGCAGCAACGCCGCGUGCGGGAUGACGGGCUGCGGGAUGUAAACCGCUUUGGCCUGUGACGAAGCGAGAGUGACGGUAAUUGAUAAAGAAGCACCGGCUAACUACGUG
This 468-nucleotide ribosomal RNA is filed under the name uncultured bacterium. Its description in RNAcentral is "partial 16S ribosomal RNA". It matches the Rfam family "Bacterial small subunit ribosomal RNA", at positions 28 to 507 of the family's 1533-position model. The record is from RNAcentral.